UACGGAGGAUCCAAGCGUUAUCCGGAUUUAUUGGGUUUAAAGGGUGCGUAGGCGGCCUAUUAAGUCAGGGGUGAAAGACGGUAGCUUAACUAUCGCAGUGCCUUUGAUACUGAUGGGCUUGAAUGGACUAGAGGUAGGCGGAAUGUGACAAGUAGCGGUGAAAUGCAUAGAUAUGUCACAGAACACCAAUUGCGAAGGCAGCUUACUAGGGUUGAAUUGACGCUGAGGCACGAAAGCGUGGGGAUCAAACAGG
RNAcentral lists this ribosomal RNA (253 nucleotides) under uncultured bacterium. RNAcentral's name for it is "partial 16S ribosomal RNA". It matches the Rfam family "Bacterial small subunit ribosomal RNA", at positions 524 to 776 of the family's 1533-position model. The record is from RNAcentral.